CAUUUUUACCCAAAUUAAAAUCUCUUCUACUUCUACCGUUGUUUCACUCCUAUCAUAGAAUCCCAAGCUAAUCCCAAUCAAACCCUAAUCAAGCAAUAGAACCCGAGCCAUGUCGAUUAGAAAAUUACAGUGAGCUUGCAUGCGGUAGUAUGAGCAGUGGAGCUCACGAAGCUGCACUUGAUUCGUGGAUAGUGUAAUCAUCGGAAGCGGAAGUGAUCACAUCAGCGUGACGAGGGUUCCAAACGGAGGAAUAGAUACAAUAAGCGUGUUCUUUGAAAGUGCGAACAGAAGUGAGACGAUCGAGAGUUCAUAACUUGACGAUGUCAUCCCAUGAUCCGGAGAGGAAAGAGUCACAACAAACGGGGUUGAGCGGUGGCGACGGCCAUGCAGUUUUCUUAAAAUGGACUGAACUUGACGGAGUAACCGUUGAAUGGGGUUUUGAAAACCAACAUCAUUUUGAGAAUCGGAGUUUGGUUAGGUGAAAAAGUGAGUGUUAGGUUAAAAAGUGAGUGUUAGGUGUUUGAUGUUAUGCGCCUGAUGUUGGUUCUCUUUGAUUCGUCAUAUGUUUGUCAAUAAGGGGUUUAAGGAUUGAUAUAUAGUGGCAACUAUGCAAUGCAAGAUUGAAGAUUACCAGCUAGUUCAGAUGUCAUAGAAAAAUAUGUAUAUGUUUCUCAAGUAUGCUACCCUUUUUAUCUUUUUAUAAUAACUUUGCUUCAACGUGAUCAACUCGGGAACAAAGCCACUUGCAGCAUAUUUAUUUACAAAGGACGAUAAGUUCAAGGAACAAUUUGUAAAGAAAGUUUAUGCUGGUGGUUUGCUUAUUAAUGACACUGCCUUACAUCUUGUGGUUUAUACUUUGCCAUUUGGGGAAGUUGGAGACAGUGGAAUGGGUGCAUACCAUGAAAUUUGGUUAUAUUCACAUCAAGUUCUAUGGAUCCAAAGUUCAUCUCUAGCCCUUCCUUUGUUCCAUUACUAAGAAAGUUAGUAUUAAAACAGUUGAUUUGAAAGGCCUUACAAAUCAACAAAAAUUAGCAUUUUGGAUCAACUUGUACAAUGCUUGUAUCAUGCAUGGAUUCAUCCAAUAUGGAGUGCCAUCCACCCCAUAAAAGCUAACAACAUUGAUGAACAAGAUUGCAGAACUUCAAUUUAGAGGAUAACGAAUUUGGGCAGCUGCAAUGGGAAGUUGGGAAAAUCAGUGCUUCUUUUCUUAGAAUUUUAUUAACAGUGUUAGAACUCCACUCUUUCUUCUUAAUGUUGCUUAUGAUUCAUAGCAGAUGUGCAAUUUUGGUGGUAAGCCAUGGGGAUCCCUUGCAAAUCUUGCAAACAAUUUUGCUUGAUGCUAAUAAACACAAGGGUCCCUCUUAUGAUGACUUAGCUUCAAGUUUAGAGGCAGUUCAGGUGACACCGAUCUUGUCCCAGCACCACCAAUACGCAAUACAAACUGGAGAGCUCAGGGGAGUCAUUUAAGGUCUAGCAUAGAGCCAACUUACUGUUUUGGUUGGAUUUGAAUCCUAUAUUCCAUUAUUUACUUUUUAUAUUCAUAACCAAAACUUUUUGGAGUAUUUAUCAAAUAUUUUGUUUAGGCAGAGGAUUAUUGUUCUUUAUGAAAUUAGUUUGCAGUUUA
Cicer arietinum (chickpea) is the source of this 1624-nucleotide non-coding RNA. Lineage: Eukaryota; Viridiplantae; Streptophyta; Magnoliopsida; Fabales; Fabaceae. The record is from RefSeq and is a predicted model, not a curated record.